GGAUGUGAGGGUGAUUUGGCUGCGAUAUCUGUCACCCAUUGAUUUGAGUGAUCUGUCUGGCUAGGCAGGCAUCCCCUUCCUCCCUCACCAUUCCUUGUGCGUUCCCUCCUGAAGCUGCAUGCUUGGCUGAACAGGUCGGUCUUUCCAGAAUAGAGACGGAUUGGUCUUCGGUUCAGGGUAUAGGAGUAGCUUCGCUCCCCUCCUAGAACCUCCAAGCAAGCUUCCAUUAGUUUGUGGGUUCCCAAGUAGAAUAUGUAGAAUAUGCAGACAUUUAAAAAGUUGAAU
Molecule: small nuclear RNA, 285 nt
Filed under: Sorex araneus (European shrew)
Lineage: Eukaryota; Metazoa; Chordata; Mammalia; Eulipotyphla; Soricidae
Description: 7SK RNA (ENSSARG00000018103.1)
Rfam family: 7SK RNA
About the family: 7SK was discovered as an abundant small nuclear RNA in the mid-70s but a possible function has only recently been suggested. Two independent studies have found that 7SK RNA binds the CDK9/cyclin T complex (known as elongation factor P-TEFb). P-TEFb activates transcription by phosphorylating the C-terminal domain of RNA polymerase II.
Source: RNAcentral